Molecule: long non-coding RNA, 2987 nt
Organism: Phacochoerus africanus (Common warthog)
Lineage: Eukaryota; Metazoa; Chordata; Mammalia; Artiodactyla; Suidae
Exons: 2
Source: RefSeq, a predicted model, not a curated record
AUUUCUUUUUUUAAUUUUUUGCCAUGACUUGUUGCGGCUUCAUCACCCAUUUAAGCAACAGCCAGCAAAGAGCAGAGCUGACUGAGGCGGAGCUGCCGUCCAGGGGCAGGAAGGAAAUGGGGAGGGAGUGCUGUCAGGAGCAGGGAACAGAGGAGAGAGGAAGGGAGGUCAGUGGCCCUAACCACGGCCGAGAGCCAAGUUCAGUGCAGAUCCGAGAAGGGCUUACUCAAGGUUGAGAAGGUCUUUGGAAAUCUUGGCCAGAGCAGUUUCGGAGGUGUGGUGGGGCCGGAGCAGAGUCAGGUAUUGGAGGGUAAAUACAAUACAGAGUAAGGGCGAGGAUCAUUCUUUCCAGAGCUUUGUGCCUGGUGGGGAGAGACAGGAGGAGACGGACUGUGAGCAGGGAGCGAGGACUUGGUUUGAAUCCUGAGGGGAAGGAGUCCAUACAGACGGAGAGGCUCUGGGUGCAAAACAGAAAUCAUAACGUGUUUUUUCUCUUACGUAUUUAAAAACUUCCUCCAGCACCUACUGAGUAUAAGGCCCCUGGUUGCGUGGUGACUGUGGAGGGCCAGGGCUGUAGAAAGGCUGCAUGUUGAGUUUAAUGAUUUUUCCAGCCUAUUCUUAGAAAUGUCUUCAAAGCUGUGCUAACAGGUUGGCUCUGGCUGAUAAGGUGCCAUCGCCCCUUGCCUCUGAUGUUAUGUGGUGCUCAGUCUUCUAGACAUUGUUCCACUAAUUGGCUUCCCGGAGCUGCUUGCUCGGCUGUGCCAAGGGCGAUUAACAGACUGUGCUGAUGCGGCUCCCAGCCCUCGCGAGGGGCAGCACGUGAGCCCGUCCUUGGGAAGCUGGAGGCCGGAGAGGGUCCUUCCGAAGGCCGGAGCAUCCCAUGGUUCCGGAGCCCUGAGGCUAAAUUCCACGCAAGGGCCCUUGUGCUUUAUUUAUUUUCCUCUAGGUUGACCCAUCCUGGGAAAGACUUGGGACAAAGCACCAUUGUUUAGCUUGUGGAUGCAAGAAACAGAGAAAAAAAAAAAAAGCGUAGUUAAGAAGGGAACAGGACAUUCUAAGCUUGGGCUUCUCAACUAUCUGUAACAAAGGUUUAUUUUGUUUAAUUUCUUGGUCUAGACUAAUGCUGACUCUCACUUCCUGUCAUUGGAACCGUAACACAUUGUUCACAGACCUGCCCUAGUUCAAAGUCCAUGCUUUGGUCAAUUUCUCCUUCUAAUAAUGAUACUAACGUAGGCACUUUAUGCAUGCCCAGGUUAGGGUGGUCAGCCGGCUUCACCUUUGGAGCCCCAGGAGCCCGGGUCAGAGGCUUCUCAGCUCUCUUCCCUGCAGGUUUGAGUGUGUACCUUCCAGUGGGUUUCCCCGGAAACAGGCCCCCAGACAAGGAUGUGAGUGCUAGAUUAUGGGGACAUGAUCCCAGAAAGUAUUGUUAAGAGAUUGGGAAAGUGACAGAGCUCCUGCUGUGGCGAAACAGGCUCGGUGGUGUCUCGGGAGCACUGGGACGCAGGUUUAAUCCCCAGCCCAGCACAGUGGGUGAAGGAUAUGGCAUUGCCUCAGCUACAGCUUAGGUUGCAGUUGUGGCUUGGAUCCAAUACCUGGCCUAGAAACUGCACGUGCGUGGGUCAACCAAGAAAAAAAAAAUAAAGAAAAAAGUAGACAGAGAAAGAAAAAAGAUUGGGAAAGUGAAAUGAGGCUGGGAAGAAGUCACUAUAGGGGCAUGAUAAGCAAAUCAUGGGGGUGACUGGUCUCCAUCCUGCGGGGGAUGUUCUGAGAGAGCAGGGGACGCUCACCUGGAGUCAGCCUGCUCAGGGCACAAGGAGCGUCAGUGCAGAGGCACCGCUGCCAGGUCAUUCCUCCUUCCCUCCCCACCUCCUGCCUGCAGGCUCCAGGGGGCAGAGACAGCCUCCAGGCAAGGACCUGCAGGGGGCUGGGGCUAGAACAGCCGGAUAAGGGCGGGGGUCAGCAGCCUCCCUCUGCAGUCCAGUCAUGCCAGCGUGUGCCUUUUGCUCUGUGCCCCCCUCAGUGCUGUGUGAUGAUCUGGCCCCUCGUUUCUCUCCCCUCCUGAAGGCUCGGACCUCCGAAGGCAGAGGCUGUUCCCUUGAUCUCUGAACCUCACGGUAGGGUUCUUUAGCAGCCAGAAGAUGCAGAACGCGUGACUCUGACCCUCCCAACACCCCAGGGUGGGAUCGCUCUUCGCCUCAUUUUACAGGAUGUUCAUUUACCCUCCCCAAAGCCAUGGACUGGGAUGAAAACUGCUCCCAACUCCUUCCGGCCCUGACACGGGACGAUGAUGCUGAAGUUUAUCUAGGAAGAGGCACAAAUCGGACAGCCUACCCUAAUAAAUCAUGGAGUAGGAACAGGUGACAAGCACACACUUGUGCCCAUGUGACUUCACUUCUGCCAGCUCCCUCCAGCGCAGGACAAAUGGUGGGUGUGGUCCCCCCCACCCCGUGCUGAGCUGCUGACAGGAGCGGGAGCAGAGGCAGGACUGGGCUAUGCUGAUCUGAUAAGAGGAUUAAGUUUCGGCUUCCCUCCCACCAACCCUAAUGCCCGGGACUAAGCGGCUGCCCAAGCUGAGCCCUUUCUCAGAUGGAAAAUGUCUCUCUGCCCAGGCAAUCGCUGCCUGCCAGUUCCCAGAGCCACCAGCUUCUCCCCCAACCCCAACAACACCUUUGCCCAGGUGGUGCCCUCUGUCAGCAAUGCCCCGCCCCUCUGGUCAAAUACCCACUUGUUCUUCCAGACUGGUUCAGGUUUCACCUCUGAGCUGUUGCCCUAGUUCUGGGGGAGGGUUUAGCUGCUCCCUCCUGUGCUCUCCUGGCCCCAGGCCCACCCCUCUCUUCCCACGCAGUACGUGUGGACCUCCGACAGUAGUUAUUUUUCUCACAUGAUUAUCUUUCCGUUGAUAGGAUGAGCUUCCUGAGGACAAGGACCAGCUUCCUUCGCGGGGUCUGGCAUAUAAUGGUUUCUUUAUAAAUGUUUCUAGGUUGCUA